CCUACGGGGGGCAGCAGUGGGGAAUAUUGGGCAAUGGACGCAAGUCUGCCCCAGCAACGCCGCGGGAAGGAAGAAGGCUUUCGGGUUGUAAACUUCUUUUAAGGGGGAAGAGCAGAAGACGGUACCCCUUGAAUAAGCCACGGCUAACUACGUGCCAGCAGCCGCGGUAAUACGUAGGUGGAAAGCGUUGUCCGGAUUUACUGUGUGUAAAGGGCGUGCAGCCGGAGAGACAAGGCAGAUGUGAAAUCCACGGGCUCAACCCGAGAACUGCAUUUGAACUGUGCUGCUAGAGUGUCGGAGAGGCAGGCGGAAUUCCUAGUGUAGCGGUGAAAUGCGUAGAUAUUAGGAGGAACACCAGUGGCGAAGGCGGCCUGCUGGACGAUGACUGACGUUGAGGCUCGAAAGCGUGGGGAGCAAACAGGAUUAGAUACCCCAGUAGUC
Molecule: ribosomal RNA, 441 nt
Filed under: uncultured bacterium
Lineage: Bacteria
Description: partial 16S ribosomal RNA
Rfam family: Bacterial small subunit ribosomal RNA
Source: RNAcentral